RNAcentral lists this ribosomal RNA (442 nucleotides) under uncultured bacterium. RNAcentral describes it as "partial 16S ribosomal RNA". It matches the Rfam family "Bacterial small subunit ribosomal RNA", at positions 338 to 795 of the family's 1533-position model. The record is from RNAcentral.
CCUACGGGUGGCAGCAGUGGGGAAUAUUGGGCAAUGGGCGAAAGCCUGACCCAGCAACGCCGCGUGAAGGAAGAAGGCUUUCGGGUUGUAAACCUCUUUUUAUAGGGAAGAGCAGAAGACGGUACCUGUCUAAUAAGCCCCGGCUAAUUACGUGCCAGCAGCCGCGGUAAUACGUAGGUCGCAAGCGUUAUCCGGAUUUACUGGGUGUAAAGGGCGUGUAGCCGGGCUGGCAAGUCAGAUGUGAAAUCCGGGGGCUCAACCCCCGAACUGCAUUUGAAACUGUUGGUCUUGAGUAUCGGAGAGGUAGGCGGAAUUCCUAGUGUAGCGGUGAAAUGCGUAGAUAUUAGGAGGAACACCAGUGGCGAAGGCGGCCUACUGGACGGCCACUGACGGUGAGGCGCGAAAGCGUGGGGAGCAAACAGGAUUAGAUACCCGAGUAGUC